GUACUUAUCUUGCAGGAGUGAUAACAGGAUCACAAAAAUGGUUUUCCAUGGGUGAGGCUUACACAUUGUACUCAAGAUAUGCUGACCCCUGUGAUUCCCAAGUGCAGGAAACGAGACUACAUACUUUGUGGUAGUGGGGGGUCUGUGUUUGUGCUUGUCCCUG
This is a small nuclear RNA of Cavia porcellus (domestic guinea pig), 163 nucleotides long. Its record names the gene U1. It matches the Rfam family "U1 spliceosomal RNA". Rfam says of the family: U1 is a small nuclear RNA (snRNA) component of the spliceosome (involved in pre-mRNA splicing). Its 5' end forms complementary base pairs with the 5' splice junction, thus defining the 5' donor site of an intron. The record is from Ensembl. Lineage: Eukaryota; Metazoa; Chordata; Mammalia; Rodentia; Caviidae.